Dermacentor andersoni is the source of this 1775-nucleotide non-coding RNA. NCBI's taxonomy places the organism in Eukaryota, Metazoa, Arthropoda, Arachnida, Ixodida, Ixodidae. The record is from RefSeq and is a predicted model, not a curated record.
CAGGCGUUCUGUCCGACUAAUGUGUACAGAGUGCGUAAGUUUGAAAGAUCCUGAACUUCUGGUAUGAUCAGCUUCUGAGGCGCUCAUACACCCGCGCUUGUGUAGACACGGCAGAUGCACGUAUGCGGGCUUUUAACGGCGCUUGCGUAUAUGGGCUAUGUCGUCUGCUGCGCCGCUGCUUCGCACCUGUACGUCUGCUAAAUAAAGUUUGUAUACCACCACCUGUACGUCUGCACCACGGUGUAAGAAUAGGCUGUGGUCUGCACGAAGCCGGCGCCGGCAAUAGAGAGCGUAGAGAGGGCGCAAUAUAAUCGCGAAUCAGCUCUGCGCUUUUUCUGCACCUUUUGUAACGAAUGGCGAGGUGCAGCACUUUGCAAAGUGGUGUAGGUGAAUCGAACGUACCUUAGGUGCGUUCGAUUCACCUACAUCACAUACGAACCGUAGCGAAGCCGCCACGGAAAGCUGGAUUGUGGAUCGGAUUAAAACAAUAAUUAUUACACUUUUUUUUUGUUUUUGUCAUUCUCUGAUGCUGGUGCGACCCGCGCGACUCGAACACACUUCCCGGUGCGCUUGUUUUCAUUGCGUAUGACGAGCCGUAAUUCAUGAAGUAAUAAUGUACUUUUGCUCUGGCAAUUCGAGAGGUGGCGCAUAGUGAAGCCAAGAAAUUUCGGGGCUAUAAAAGAACGUCGGUUCCUUGGUUUUCUCUGUCCUAUCGUCUAUCGUACAGGAUACGUGCCAUCGCCAUCGACAGUCUUGCCGUAGCCUUGCUAGUUCGCAACGUGCACGAUGCCGAAACCAUAUAGGGUUGUCAAAUUCCCCGACGAGAAAGACAGCUUGGCAGUUGUGCCAACCUCGUGGCUAGCUCACAAUGAAGAGCUCUGCUUCUGGCCCCAAUGUGUCAGAGGGGUCAGAAGUGAUUACAAUGAUUCAACACGAAGUUGCCCCACAACAAGAUUGGGGAACGUAUCUCGUUGUUGUGAUGGCGAGGUGCAGCACUUACGAAAAGGCAACGAGAAGAGCAAAAAGAGCAGAAGCUCUGUCUGGUGUGGACACAACAGAGCAGUCGGGUAAUUGCUUCUGUUCUCUUUUCUUUCUUUUUUUUUAAUGCUUGCGCUUAUGGGAGAGGGGAAGGCAAAUUUAGAUCAGGGCUACAUUUACAGAGCAGUCGCUUUGCUGACGGCUGACCAGGAAGCUAGCAGAUGUAGGCAUCGGGCAGAACUGGCAAGUCGAAGUGCAUGCAAUAAACGCUAGCAGGAUGCAGUACAGCAACUUCCAGAUUAAUUUAACUUUGUGUUGCCAUGUGCUUGCCUCCUGGGUAGCUCUAUAACUGUCCCAAAAAAUGGUGGUAUAUUAUUGAGUACAUGAACCAAAAUAGUCUUUCUUUUACUGCAGUACUUUUUUUUUCUUCAAGGAAGCUGUAUGGAUUUUCUCUCCCCCCCCCCUUUUUUUUUUUGAGCUUCAUCCUAUUUAAGCAGCCCACUUUUUCUUUCACGACUACCUUUGCCUUGAAAAUUUCUGAAUUGUUAACUUGGUAUGCAGUGUGUUCCACGUAACUUGAGCCAAACUAAAAAUAUGCAAAUGCCAUGUAGCUGGACCAAACCAAGCUGUUUUUUGCUGUUGCUUCGUGAUACUGAGAUUUCUUUUUAAGUUCUCUCUAACUUCAUUAAUCAUCUUCUCAAUUUAGAUGAAAAGUGCCAAUGACAACAUUGUAGAAAAUGAAAAAUUCCCGAUACAGCUUCCUGUUGCUCAAUACGUGCUACAUAAAAUUGUUUUUC